Molecule: ribosomal RNA, 330 nt
Filed under: uncultured Lachnospiraceae bacterium
Lineage: Bacteria; Bacillati; Bacillota; Clostridia; Lachnospirales; Lachnospiraceae
Description: bacterial SSU rRNA
Rfam family: Bacterial small subunit ribosomal RNA
Source: RNAcentral
GAUGAACGCUGGCGGCGUGCUUAACACAUGCAAGUCGAACGAAGCUCCGGAAGCAGAGAUUUCGGUCAAAGCGGAAGGAAGACUUAGUGGCGGACGGGUGAGUAACGCGUGGGUAACCUGCCAUAUACAGGGGGAUAACAGUUAGAAAUGACUGCUAAUACCCCAUAAGCGCACAGUAAGGCAUCUUACAGUGUGAAAAACUCCGGUGGUACAAGAUGGACCCGCGUCUGAUUAGCCAGUUGGCAGGGUAACGGCCUACCAAAGCAACGAUCAGUAGCCGACUUGAGAGAGUGAUCGGCCACAUUGGGACUGAGACACGGCCCAGACUCC